AUUGAACGCUGGUGGCAUGCUUUACACAUGCCAGUCGAACGGCAGCGCGGGCUUCGGCCUGGCGGCGAGUGGCGAACGGGUGAGUAAUGCAUCGGAACGUGCCCAGUAGUGGGGGAUAGCCCGGCGAAAGCCGGAUUAAUACCGCAUACGACCUGAGGGUGAAAGCGGGGGACCGAAAGGCCUCGCGCUAUUGGAGCGGCCGAUGUCGGAUUAGCUAGUUGGUGGGGUAAAGGCUUACCAAGGCGACGAUCCGUAGCUGGUCUGAGAGGACGACCAGCCACACGGGGACUGAGACGCCCCCCAGACCCAGCCGGGAGGAAGCAGGGGGGAAUUGUGGACAAGGGGGGCAACCCUGAUCCCGCCAUGCCGCGGGAGGAAAGAAGCCCUUCGGGUUGAAAACCGUUUUUGUUCGGGAAGAACUCCUCGGGGCUAACCCCCCGGGGGGAUGACGGUACGGGAAAAAUAAGCACCGGCUACCUACGUC
RNAcentral lists this ribosomal RNA (484 nucleotides) under uncultured bacterium. RNAcentral's name for it is "partial 16S ribosomal RNA". It matches the Rfam family "Bacterial small subunit ribosomal RNA", at positions 28 to 507 of the family's 1533-position model. The record is from RNAcentral.